RNAcentral lists this ribosomal RNA (490 nucleotides) under uncultured bacterium. Its description in RNAcentral is "partial 16S ribosomal RNA". It matches the Rfam family "Bacterial small subunit ribosomal RNA", at positions 28 to 507 of the family's 1533-position model. The record is from RNAcentral.
GAUGAACGCUAGCUACAGGCUUAACACAUGCAAGUCGAGGGGCAGCAUGGUCUUAGCUUGCUAAGGCCGAUGGCGACCGGCGCACGGGUGAGUAACACGUAUCCAACCUGCCGUCUACUCUUGGACAGCCUUCUGAAAGGAAGAUUAAUACAUGAUGGCAUCAUGAGUCCGCAUGUUCACAUGAUUAAAGGUAUUCCGGUAGACGAUGGGGAUGCGUUCCAUUAGAUAGUAGGCGGGGUAACGGCCCACCUAGUCUUCGAUGGAUAGGGGUUCUGAGAGGAAGGUCCCCCACAUUGGAACUGAGACACGGUCCAAACUCCUACGGGAGGCAGCAGUGAGGAAUAUUGGUCAAUGGGCGAGAGCCUGAACCAGCCAAGUAGCGUGAAGGAUGACUGCCCUAUGGGUUGUAAACUUCUUUUAUAAAGGAAUAAAGUCGGGUAUGGAUACCCGUUUGCAUGUACUUUAUGAAUAAGGAUCGGCUAACUCCGUG